AGACAAGCACGUGUUCCGGUGUUAUGGCUGCCGAAAUGGGGAGCUGGUCCCUUCACUAUGUAUCUUUAAAUGAGGCUGCUACAAAGUACUCCAGACCGUGGACAAGAGGACAGUGGAAUUGCCUUUCCCUACGUUGCUUAGGCCAACGGUGCACUGGUGUUUUGCCUGCAUGUAUGUCUGUGUGAAGGUGUCAAAUCUUGAAGUUACAGACAGCUACUUGGAGUACAGACAGUUGUUAGCUGCCAUGUGAGUGCUGUUGCCGUUGGUGCUCUUAACCGUUGAACCAUCUCUCCAGUCCCCAACAAAUAUGUUUUCUGUAUGUGUGGAAAUAAAAUUUUA
RNAcentral lists this long non-coding RNA (339 nucleotides) under Cricetulus griseus (Chinese hamster). Its description in RNAcentral is "lncRNA (ENSCGRG00015038239.1)". The record is from RNAcentral. Lineage: Eukaryota; Metazoa; Chordata; Mammalia; Rodentia; Cricetidae.